CUGCAAAGCCCGCGACUUGCCGGCGGCACUCAUGUCCUGGAGGGAAUUGGGGCUCGAUCUGGAGGCAUGGAAGAUCCUCGAGCUCCUCCUCCAGAGCCCGAACGGCUCCUGCAGAAGUCGACGGCAUGGGGAAGACGAAGACUUGCUCCAGCCACAUGCCACUGCCCUGUGCUCGUCUUGCCUCUGCCGUUCCCCUCCUCGAGCUGGCGGACUGAUGAUGGAGGACCCGCCCUCUUCGCUUCACCGGCGCCGCCGCUGCAGCUGAUGCUGCCCGCUGCCCACUCGCCGGCAGCCGAUUGAAGGAGGACUUGGUGAAGAGGAAUGGAGUACGAGUACGGAUGCUGCUUCCGUUGAUCCCAGGGACCGAUUUUCACUUGGACUGCAUCGGGUAAAAUUGAUUGAAGAAAGCAACUAAGACGUCAGAGAAUAUAUUGUUGUAUAUAUAAACUGAAUACUGGUGUACUGUCAAUAUUCAGUAGCAGAAAUUAAACUUCAGAGUAUAUUGUACUGUCAACAUUCAGAAUCAGAAAUUCAGUGUUGUACCGCUAAAACUAUACUGGUUCCUCUUUUCUGUGCAAUAAAACUGUACCAUUGUUUGAUGAAUCAUGGUUGAUUCAAUUUGCUCUACAUUUACUGAAAAUAAACUUGGCCAUUAUUUAUUGAAAAUAAAACCGGAUCAUUCACUUAAACUACUCAUGAAACAUUUUGCUCUACAUUUCAGUUUGAUGUACUGCAAUUUGAUCUACUGAAAUUCAGUUUGAUUAAGUUUGCUAUACUGUGCUCAGGUACUACCCUCUGUCCAACAUCAUGGAUAUACCAGUAUAUUGAUCUACUCCAGUAAUUUCCUCCAUUGCUUCUUGUCCAGUUUGAUUUGUUUGACAGUACUAAAGAUUGUUCCAUCAGAAAUCAACAUCAAUGUUGAGAAAUUGACAGUGCAGAAACAUAAAUUUCAAUCAUGGCAACCUAAAGAUUGUUUCAUCAUCAUUACAAAAAUUGACAAUAGUCCACUGUAAUGUUCUUAUUGGAAUUACAGAAACAAAAUUGACAGUACUCAACGCUCCAUGUCAUAGUGAACAUUACAGAAAUUGACAGAACACUUAUAACUGGUGAAAAUGCUACAGACCAUGAAUGAUUCCAGAGAUGUUUUCUUUCUCCCACAUUAGACCAUUAGACCAUAACAGUUAACUGAACUUUUUUUUUUUGUAACAUUUCUCGAGAGGACAUGAUCAAUUGUGUUUCAAAUUACAGAGCGAGAUCGUGGGAUUAGAUCUUUACUAGUAGUUUAACCUUCUCAUCACGCUCCUCUCCUCUCGCGACCGCGUCGCCCCCGCGGGCGA
Molecule: long non-coding RNA, 1337 nt
Organism: Triticum aestivum (bread wheat)
Lineage: Eukaryota; Viridiplantae; Streptophyta; Magnoliopsida; Poales; Poaceae
Exons: 3
Source: RefSeq, a predicted model, not a curated record